AAAGAUUAAGCCAUGCAUGUCUAAGUAUAAACGAUUUAAUCGUGAAACCGCGAAUGGCUCAUUAUAACAGCUAUAAUUUACUUGAUCUUGACACAAUCCUACUUGGAUAACUGUGGUAAUUCUAGAGCUAAUACAUGCAUUAAAGCUCUGACCUCACGGGAAGAGUGCAUUUAUUAGAACAAAACCAAGCGGCUUCGGCUGUUUCUGGUUGACUCAUAGUAACUGAGCUGAUCGCAUGGUCUUGCACCGGCGACGUGUCUUUCAAGUAUCUGCCGUAUCAACUUUCGAUGGUAGUGUAUCUGACUACCAUGGUGAUCACGCGUAACGGAGAAUAAGGGUUCGGCUCCGGAGAGUUCGCCUGAGAAAUCGCGAACACAUCUAAGGAAGGCAGCAGGCGCGAAAAUUACCCACUCUCAGCACGAGGAGGUAGUGACGAAAAAUAACGAGACCGUUCUCUUAUGAGGCCGGUCAUCGGAAUGGGUACAAUUUAAA
RNAcentral lists this ribosomal RNA (492 nucleotides) under Acrobeloides sp. Sourhope farm. RNAcentral describes it as "SSU rRNA". It matches the Rfam family "Eukaryotic small subunit ribosomal RNA", at positions 39 to 529 of the family's 1831-position model. Lineage: Eukaryota; Metazoa; Nematoda; Chromadorea; Rhabditida; Cephalobidae. The record is from RNAcentral.